AUUGAACGCUGGCGGCGUGCUUAACACAUGCAAGUCGAACGGUAAGGCCCUUCGGGGUACACGAGUGGCGAACGGGUGAGUAACACGUGGGUGAUCUGCCCUGCACUUCGGGAUAAGCCUGGGAAACUGGGUCUAAUACCGGAUAGGACCCUGGGAUGCAUGUCCUGGGGUGGAAAGCUUUUGCGGUGUGGGAUGGGCCCGCGGCCUAUCAGCUUGUUGGUGGGGUGAUGGCCUACCAAGGCGACGACGGGUAGCCGGCCUGAGAGGGUGACCGGCCACACUGGGACUGAGAUACGGCCCAGACUCCUACGGGAGGCAGCAGUGGGGAAUAUUGCACAAUGGGCGCAAGCCUGAUGCAGCGACGCCGCGUGAGGGAUGACGGCCUUCGGGUUGUAAACCUCUUUCAGCACCGACGAAGCGCAAGUGACGGUAGGUGCAGAAGAAGGGCCGGCCAACUACGUGCCAGCAGCCGCAGUAA
RNAcentral lists this ribosomal RNA (478 nucleotides) under uncultured bacterium. Its description in RNAcentral is "partial 16S ribosomal RNA". It matches the Rfam family "Bacterial small subunit ribosomal RNA", at positions 28 to 523 of the family's 1533-position model. The record is from RNAcentral.